UUAAAUUGAAGAGUUUGAUCAUGGCUCAGAUUGAACGCUGGCGGCAGGCCUAACACAUGCAAGUCGAACGGUAACAGGAAGAAGCUUGCUUCUUUGCUGACGAGUGGCGGUCAGGUGAGUAGUGUCUGGAAAACUGAAUGAGGGACGGGUCUAACUCCUG
This 160-nucleotide ribosomal RNA is filed under the name Escherichia coli. RNAcentral describes it as "partial 16S ribosomal RNA". It matches the Rfam family "Bacterial small subunit ribosomal RNA", at positions 1 to 152 of the family's 1533-position model. The record is from RNAcentral. Lineage: Bacteria; Pseudomonadati; Pseudomonadota; Gammaproteobacteria; Enterobacterales; Enterobacteriaceae.